GACGAACGCUGGCGGCGUGCUUAACACAUGCAAGUCGAACGGAAAGGCCUGCUUUCCCUUGUGGAUUGCGGGUACUCGAGUGGCGAACGGGUGAGUAACACGUGAGUGAUCUGCCCCCAACUUGGGUAUAAGCCUGGGAAACUGGGUCUAAUUCCCGAUAGGACUGCAGGGUGGUGCCUGUGGUGGAAAACGAUUUUCUAGUGGUUGGGGAUGAGCUCGCGGCCUAUCAGCGUGUUGGUGGGGUAAUGGCCUACCAAGGCGGCGACGGGUAGCCGGCCUGAGAGGGUGGACGGCCACAUUGGGACUGAGAUACGGCCCAGACUCCUACGGGAGGCAGCAGUGGGGAAUAUUGCACAAUGGGCGGAAGCCUGAUGCAGCGACGCCGCGUGGGGGAUGACGGCCUUCGGGUUGUAAACUCCUUUCGACCGCGAGGAAGCCACCUGGUUGGAAGGGUGGUGACGGUAGUGGUAGAAGAAGCACCGGCUAACUACGUG
This 494-nucleotide ribosomal RNA is filed under the name uncultured bacterium. RNAcentral's name for it is "partial 16S ribosomal RNA". It matches the Rfam family "Bacterial small subunit ribosomal RNA", at positions 28 to 507 of the family's 1533-position model. The record is from RNAcentral.